ACCACGGGACCGAUCUGGCGAUUUCCGUCGACGGGAUGCCCGUCAACAUGCGCACGCAUGGCCACGGACAGGGCUGGGCCGAUCUGAAUUUUCAGAUUCCGGAAUUGAUCGAAUCGGUCAACAUCAAAAAAGGCCCCUACUUUGCCGACGAGGGCGAUUUUGCCUCGGUAGGAGCCGUGCACGUCAAUCUCAUCGACAGCAUCGCGAAGUCGACGCUGUCGACCACCAUCGGCAGUCUCGGCUAUCGUC
This 249-nucleotide unclassified non-coding RNA is filed under the name Hevea brasiliensis (rubber tree). Lineage: Eukaryota; Viridiplantae; Streptophyta; Magnoliopsida; Malpighiales; Euphorbiaceae. The record is from RNAcentral.